This is a long non-coding RNA of Condylura cristata (star-nosed mole), 1887 nucleotides long. RefSeq lists it as uncharacterized. The transcript is spliced from 3 exons. NCBI's taxonomy places the organism in Eukaryota, Metazoa, Chordata, Mammalia, Eulipotyphla, Talpidae. The record is from RefSeq and is a predicted model, not a curated record.
CUUGUUUAGGAGAAUUCAAAGCAGAAGAAAGUCAUCAAAGAAACUGAGAAAUAUCCUCCCACUUUGUUCUGAGGGUCUAAAUUAUUACUCUGGCAUUUUAAAUGACUUGGUUGUGAAAAAUAGGUUACUCCCAUUGAGUUGAUGACUAAAACAGAAGCCAAGAAGUGUGCCUACAGGAGGCUGGUGUGCCCCAGCCAAAUGUACGCCACUGUUCAAGACGCAGCUAAAGUCACCACGCGGACGGUAAGCGUGUUACAAAGAACUAGAUUUCUUUCUGGCAGCCGCAACUUGGUCGGAGUGACCACGCAGGAGUUGAAGAGCGCUGGCAAUGCGUGGUUCGGCGCGGGGACAUGGGCAGAAAACGGCCCGGGCCAUGAGAGCCGGUGGACACUCAACGGAGGACAGAGGCAGGGAGCUUUCCCGGAGAGAAAGAGGCGAAGUUGAGCUCGGGAAGGAGGCGAGCCGCACGCAGACGGAGAGAGGAGCCCAGGACCGUGACCUUCUGAAUCUACAAUAAUAAAAGACAUAAAGAGGACGGUGAGCCAGUGACGUCUGAACUCCGCAGCGUGGUCUCUCGAGGCUUAGAUGUGAUCAAGAUGGGUCUUAACUACCAUCGGUCCUAACAUCACCGCUGACAGACAAGCAGAUAGAAAUGAGACUCAGACAUACAUAGGGAUGCGAUGUGAAGACACCGGAGGAAGACAGAGACUGGCGUGAUGUUGUCACAAGCCCAGGAGCUACCAGGCCCUGGAUGGAGAGGGUCCUUCCAAGGGGCCGUGAGAUGGAGCAUGGCUUGCUUGGCAUCUUGAGUCUACCUCCCAGACUGUGAAAAAAUGAAUGUCAGCCACGCAGCCCACCCAGUUUUUGGCACUUGGUUCCUCCAGCUUAGAAAACAAAAACAUCGGUGCAAUUUUCAUCCGAUGUUACCGAGCUCCUACUGUGGACCAGGCACAGUGAUGAGCUCUGGAAAACAGAACCAGGACCAGGCCACAGGUUGACGCAAGCAAGCCCACGCUGCUGAGCCUCCUGAUGACGUUCCCGACUGGCCCAGGCCCCCAAGCCUUCGCUUCCCACACAGCCAUCUCAGAAGUAGAACCUGUAGGGACCAGAAGCCACUUGGGAGAUCCCCGGCCCACCCCCAUGGUUUUCCAAGUGUGCAGCUGGGGUCCAGAGGGGUCAUGCUGCUGAUGGAAAGUCGGCUUCGGACUCCCCAAACACCAUCUCACUCCCUGACUCUGAUUAAUUCAUGUUAUGAAUAAAUUCAACAAACAACAAAUGUUUGUCGAAUGAACACUAAAUUAUUAAUGACUGGUAAAGAGAAUGUGUUAUACCUCCCAGAGGUAUUGGAAUGUAGAACAAUGCCUUCACCCAGAGAAGUGAAUUUCUACUAGUGGAAUAUGGGACUGGGGCUGGGGGUGGGCGAAACAGGCCAGAGAGUUUGGGGAGGGCGGGCGGUGUCUUACGCAGACCCUUUCUCUCCAAUUCCUAAAGCCCCGACUCUGUCGGCCGGCACAGCGCAGGGCUGUCAGCGCAGGGCUGUCAGCCGGAGAGGAUUAUGGAAGUGGGCUGAGGAGGAGCUUGCCCUACUCUGUGCUCAGAGAGGUUGUGCAGGGCAUAACCAUGCCCUCUGGGAUGCAAAGGGAAGCCCUGGCCUCAUUAUAGGCGUGUACACGACUGCUGUUUUAAACUCCAAUACUGCUGAACAAUUCAGAAAUAGGUCCAUUAUAGGUCUGCUUUACCCCCAGGGCGUUAACAUAGGUCACUAGAACAUCCAAGAUUGCACAGUAAUUCAAACUCUUAAGAGGGGAAGGAAAUAAUCUCUUCACCAAUACCCACCCUUUCCCCAGCAGACCAGGGAGCGCCUCUUCAUUUCUGUAGUGCUUUGAA